UUAACCGUGACUGAUUUGUUUCA
This 23-nucleotide non-coding RNA is filed under the name Arabidopsis thaliana (thale cress). Lineage: Eukaryota; Viridiplantae; Streptophyta; Magnoliopsida; Brassicales; Brassicaceae. The record is from RNAcentral.